ACGUAAUAGAUACCCUGGUAGUCCACGCCCUAAACGAUGUCUACUAGUUGUUGGUGGAGUAAAAUCCAUGAGUAAACGCAGCUAAACGCGUGAAGUAGACCGCCUGGGGAGUACGGUCGCAAGAUUAAAACUACAAAGGAAUUGACGGGGGCCCGCACAAGCGGUGGAUUAUGUGGAUUAAAUUCGAUGCAACGCGAAAAACCUUACCUGGCCUUGACAUGCCACUAACGAAGCAGAGAUGCAUUAGGUGCCCGUAAGGGAAAGUGGACACAGGUGCUGCAUGGCUGUCGUCAGCUCGUGUCGUGAGAUGUUGGGUUAAGUCCCGCAACGAGCGCAACCCUUGCCAUUAAUUGCCAUCAUUUAGUUGGGCACUUUAAUGGGACUGCCGGUGACAAACCGGAGGAAGUGGGGAUGACGUCAAGUCCUCAUGGCCCUUAUGGCCAGGGCUUCACACGUAAUACAAUGGUCGGUACAGAGAGUUGCCAACCCGCGAGGGGAGCUAAUCUCAGAAAGCCGAUCGUAGUCCGGAUUGUUCUCUGC
RNAcentral lists this ribosomal RNA (540 nucleotides) under uncultured bacterium. Its description in RNAcentral is "bacterial SSU rRNA". It matches the Rfam family "Bacterial small subunit ribosomal RNA", at positions 774 to 1308 of the family's 1533-position model. The record is from RNAcentral.